CUACUAUUGGAUUUGAACCAAUGACUCUGCCGUAUGAAGCUAAUAAUAACCACUGAGUUAAGUAGGU
Molecule: transfer RNA, 67 nt
Filed under: Salix wilsonii
Lineage: Eukaryota; Viridiplantae; Streptophyta; Magnoliopsida; Malpighiales; Salicaceae
Description: tRNA-Met
Source: RNAcentral